AUGAGAAGUUCCGUGGUGGAUU
RNAcentral lists this unclassified non-coding RNA (22 nucleotides) under Chlamydomonas reinhardtii. RNAcentral's name for it is "small RNA Cre_0719". Lineage: Eukaryota; Viridiplantae; Chlorophyta; Chlorophyceae; Chlamydomonadales; Chlamydomonadaceae. The record is from RNAcentral.